GUAUGUCCUGGAAAUACGACAUAUUCGUCUGUAGUGUGUGACUCACUUUGCUCUCUUCCUUUCAUAGUAUAUCUCAGAUGCUGCACAGCCCUCCAUGAUUUUAAAUAAUUAAAGGAUUACAGAUCACUUGCGUCACCUACGUCAUGUGAGCUUCACACAGCACACAGAGAUGGGACCAUCAGACAGCGACAGCAUCAGAAAGGAUGGAGUUAAACUUUGGAAAUAAUGCUCAACUGUAGGAGUUCAGACGCUGAGGACCAAGAACCUUCUGUGAUGGGACAGCUAAAGACCAAGAGGGCUGUUGUGGCUGGCAGGAUCGCGUCCAUUGUCUUGUGCUACCCUGAAAAUAGAAGUGAGGACUGUACGGAGCAGAGAAAGCUCUGAAGGAGGAGCAUUCUGGGAGAACUAUGCUGUUGAUGUGGGCACGGCCACAUCAAGGACCUCAGAGCCUCCGGUCUGUGGAGGAACAGCAAAGCCUUCCCCUUGGCACAGUGAGUUGAGAGGUAUGAUAGAACCUUCCUCAGGGGACUGCCUGCCAGUAUUGACCGUGCGUGUAGAACAUGCACGGC
Molecule: long non-coding RNA, 569 nt
Filed under: Mus spicilegus (steppe mouse)
Lineage: Eukaryota; Metazoa; Chordata; Mammalia; Rodentia; Muridae
Description: lncRNA (ENSMSIG00000005558.1)
Source: RNAcentral